This is a small nucleolar RNA of Peromyscus maniculatus bairdii (prairie deer mouse), 64 nucleotides long. RefSeq annotates it as small nucleolar RNA SNORD109A. Lineage: Eukaryota; Metazoa; Chordata; Mammalia; Rodentia; Cricetidae. The record is from RefSeq and is a predicted model, not a curated record.
AGAUCAAUGAUGAGCACAAUCAUCUGAGGACUGUGAAGUAUUUUAAGAUGUCAAUCAGAAAACA